GCCGCGGUGGCGUGGAUCGUCGCGGGGCUCGCGCCGCCGUGGCGGGCCGACGAGCUCGCGCGGCCACCCGUCCGGGGCCGGCCCGUGGUCC
RNAcentral lists this transfer RNA (91 nucleotides) under Cellulomonas persica. RNAcentral describes it as "tRNA-Ala(cgc)". The record is from RNAcentral. Lineage: Bacteria; Bacillati; Actinomycetota; Actinomycetes; Micrococcales; Cellulomonadaceae.